RNAcentral lists this ribosomal RNA (238 nucleotides) under uncultured bacterium. RNAcentral describes it as "partial 16S ribosomal RNA". It matches the Rfam family "Bacterial small subunit ribosomal RNA", at positions 96 to 334 of the family's 1533-position model. The record is from RNAcentral.
UGGCGGACGGGUGAGUAACGCGUGGGUAACCUGCCUCAUACAGGGGGAUAACAGUUAGAAAUGGCUGCUAAUACCGCAUAAGACCACGGUACUGCAUGGUACAGUGGUAAAAACUCCGGUGGUAUGAGAUGGCCCCGCGUCUGAUUAGGUAGUUGGUGAGGUAACGGCCCACCAAGCCGACGAUCAGUAGCCGACCUGAGAGGGUGACCGGCCACAUUGGGACUGAGACACGGCCCAG